GCCCUGUUGGUCUAGUCGUAUGAUACCUGCUUUGGGACACACAGUGUAAAACUGCAGGUGGUCCUCGGUUCAAUUCCGGGACAGGGCC
Molecule: non-coding RNA, 88 nt
Organism: Geopyxis carbonaria
Lineage: Eukaryota; Fungi; Ascomycota; Pezizomycetes; Pezizales; Tarzettaceae
Source: the annotation of a GenBank genome assembly